CAUCAGAUGACUGAAAGUAAGUAAUGGUCUCUUAAACCAAUUUAUAGUAUAAUAACAAAUACUUCUGAUGA
This 71-nucleotide transfer RNA is filed under the name Meloimorpha japonica. RNAcentral describes it as "tRNA-Lys". Lineage: Eukaryota; Metazoa; Arthropoda; Insecta; Orthoptera; Phalangopsidae. The record is from RNAcentral.